RNAcentral lists this ribosomal RNA (253 nucleotides) under uncultured bacterium. Its description in RNAcentral is "partial 16S ribosomal RNA". It matches the Rfam family "Bacterial small subunit ribosomal RNA", at positions 524 to 776 of the family's 1533-position model. The record is from RNAcentral.
GACAGAGGUGCCAAGCGUUAGGCGGAAUCACUGGGCUUAAAGCGUGUGUAGGCGGACCUGUAAGUGCCUUGUGAAAUCCCAUGGCUCAACCAUGGAACGGCUGGGCAUACUGCGGGUCUUGAGCUGUCUAGGGGCAACCGGAACAAACGGUGGAGCGGUGAAAUGCGUAGAUAUUGUUUGGAACGCCAAAGGUGAAAACAGGUUGCUGGGGACAUGCUGACGCUGAGACACGAAAGCCAGGGGAGCGAACGGG